ACGACAUUUUUCGGUUGGAAAUAUUGAUCUAAACCGAUUUACUUUAAUUAAAUAUGUUUAACUCCGUAGAAAUUCUCAAUAAAACUUCAUUAUUAUAUUUCGUUAUUUUCAUAAAUUAUUUAAACAGGGUGUUUAUAAUAAUACUACCUAAAAUCAAAUCUAUACAGCAGUAACCGACCCAUAUAUAUCAGUUAUUUUCUAAUACCCUUUUAAUUGGUGUGUUUUAAAAGACCGUGUCUACACAUCAUUUUCGUUUUGGGAAAACUUCUACAGUAAAGUUAUUGUCGUCCUAUAUAUCAUUGUUAUUAUUAUCGUACGUCACAUAAUAUAAUAAAUUACAUUUUAAACAAUUCCUUCAUACAGAAAUCAUAUGCAUUACUACUAAAAUGUUCAAAGGGUUUACGACGACGUUUAUAAUUGCUUU
This is a non-coding RNA of Cinara cedri, 424 nucleotides long. Lineage: Eukaryota; Metazoa; Arthropoda; Insecta; Hemiptera; Aphididae. The record is from the annotation of a GenBank genome assembly.